RNAcentral lists this ribosomal RNA (264 nucleotides) under uncultured Oscillospiraceae bacterium. RNAcentral describes it as "partial 16S ribosomal RNA". It matches the Rfam family "Bacterial small subunit ribosomal RNA", at positions 77 to 339 of the family's 1533-position model. The record is from RNAcentral. Lineage: Bacteria; Bacillati; Bacillota; Clostridia; Eubacteriales; Oscillospiraceae.
AGCUUGCUUUUCUUUUCUUAGUGGCGGACGGGUGAGUAACACGUGAAGAACCUGCCUUACAGAGGGGGACAACAGCUGGAAACGGCUGCUAAUACCGCAUGACACAUUGGGGUCGCAUGGCCCUGAUGUCAAAGAUUUAUCGCUGAAAGAUGGCCUCGCGUCUGAUUAGCUAGUUGGUGAGGUAACGGCCCACCAAGGCGACGAUCAGUAGCCGGACUGAGAGGUUGACCGGCCACAUUGGGACUGAGAUACGGCCCAGACUCC